RNAcentral lists this ribosomal RNA (1019 nucleotides) under uncultured bacterium. RNAcentral's name for it is "bacterial SSU rRNA". It matches the Rfam family "Bacterial small subunit ribosomal RNA", at positions 37 to 1022 of the family's 1533-position model. The record is from RNAcentral.
UGGAAGUGCGGCGUGCAAGAAUGCAAGUCGAGCGCUAAUUACAGGGUAGCAAUAUUCUGUAGUUGGAGCGGCGCAAGGGUGCGUAACACGUGGGUAAUCUGCCAUGAAGUCUGGGAUAACUCGCUGAAAGGCGAGCUAAUACCGGAUGUGAAAAUUAGGAGGCAUCUUCCGAUUUUCAAAGCUGGGGACCGUAAGGCCUGGCGCUUCAUGAUGAGCCCGCGGCCUAUCAGCUAGUUGGUGAGGUAACGGCUCACCAAGGCUAAGACGGGUAGCUGGUCUGAGAGGACGACCAGCCACACUGGAACUGAGACACGGUCCAGACACCUACGGGUGGCAGCAGUCGAGAAUUUUUCACAAUGGGGGAAACCCUGAUGGAGCGACGCCGCGUGGGGGAUGAAUGGCUUCGGCCCGUAAACCCCUGUCAUUUGCGAACAAAUUGGUUCAAUUAAUAACUGAACCAUUGAUAGUAGCGAGAGAGGAAGGGACGGCUAACUCUGUGCCAGCAGCCGCGGUAAUACAGAGGUCCCAAGCGUUGUUCGGAUUCACUGGGCGUAAAGGGUGCGUAGGCGGUCGGGUAAGUCUGAUGUGAAAUCUCACAGCUUAACUGUGAAACUGCAUUGGAUACUAUUCGGCUUGAGAGUUGGAGGGGGGACUGGAAUUCUUGGUGUAGCAGUGAAAUGCGUAGAUAUCAAGAGGAACACCAGUGGCGAAGGCGAGUCCCUGGACAACUUCUGACGCUGAGGCACGAAAGCUAGGGGAGCAAACAGGAUUAGAUACCCUGGUAGUCCUAGCUGUAAACGGUGCUUAUUUGCUGUAAAAGGAAUCGACCCCUUUUGUGGCGUAGCAAACGCGUUAAAUAAGCCGCCUGGGAAGUACGGUCGCAAGAUUAAAACUCAAAGAAAUUGACGGGGGCCUGCACAAGCGGUGGAGUAUGUGGCUUAAUUCGAUGCAACGCGAAGAACCUUACCUGGCCUUGACAUGCAUUUAGUAGAACCAUGAAAGUGGGACGAUCCUCGCAA